This 293-nucleotide long non-coding RNA is filed under the name Daucus carota (carrot). RNAcentral's name for it is "long non-coding RNA (DCAR_LNC004607)". The record is from RNAcentral. Lineage: Eukaryota; Viridiplantae; Streptophyta; Magnoliopsida; Apiales; Apiaceae.
GGAGAGAGAGAGAGAGAGAGAGAGAGAGAAGUGUAUAGUGGAUUACAGGUAAAUGGGGAGUGUAUAGAAGUUACAAAGACAACUAAGGGGUUAGGGGUCCAAUCUUGUAUCCUCUUAUAUGGGUUUUCUUACAGAGAGAGAGAGAUGUGGUGGGCUGGAGAGAGGGAGAGAGAGAGAGAGAGAUGUAGUGGAAGGAGAAGAAAGGGAAGUAAAGGAAUGAACUUUUAAUUGCUUUAGUUAUCUUUGGUGUGAAGGAGAAGUGAAGAGAGUGAUGUUUGCAUUUUGGAGAAUAU